Molecule: ribosomal RNA, 447 nt
Filed under: uncultured bacterium
Lineage: Bacteria
Description: bacterial SSU rRNA
Rfam family: Bacterial small subunit ribosomal RNA
Source: RNAcentral
GACCAGACUCCUACGGGAGGCAGCAGUGGGGAAUAUUGCACAAUGGGGGGAACCCUGAUGCAGCGACGCCGCGUGAGUGAAGAAGUAUUUCGGUAUGUAAAGCUCUGUCAGCAGGGAAGAAGAAAGACGGUACCUGACUAAGAAGCCCCGGCUAACUACGUGCCAGCAGCCGCGGUAAUACGUAGGGGGCAAGCGUUAUCCGGAUUUACUGGGUGUAAAGGGAGCGUAGACGGCAUGGCAAGUCAGAUGUGAAAGCCCGGGGCUCAACCCCGGGACUGCAUUUGAAACUGUCAGGCUGGAGUGCAGGAGAGGUAAGUGGAAUUCCUAGUGUAGCGGUGAAAUGCGUAGAUAUUAGGAGGAACACCAGUGGCGAAGGCGGCUUACUGGACUGUAACUGACGUUGAGGCUCGAAAGCGUGGGGAGCAAACAGGAUUAGAUACCCCUGUA